UGGCCAGGCUGAUCUCGAACUGCUGACCUUGUGAUCCUCCCGCCUCAGCCUCCCAAAGUGUUGGGAUUACAGGCGUGAGCCACCGCGCCCGGCCCCCAACGUUUCUUUUUAAGCCUGUCAUAUCUCACAUUAAAUGUGUAAGUCUCUGAACUGUAGGGCUUUGAACAAAGGAAAGUUCCAUGAGAAUACUAUAUGAUGCCAAUUUCUACUGUUAGGAACGCGAUAACAGAGUGCAGUGGGGGAGAAAAUACCGUCCUCAAGAUCUGAGAAACUGGAGAGGAAAAGUCACAGGACAACCAACUUCUCUAUGACAUAGCCCAGCAUCUGAGGAAAGUCCUGCAAUAGUGGAGGUGGAGCAGAGGGUAUGAGCUGGGAAGCAAAUGGAGCAGGAGCUGGAGGCUGCCCCAUCCACUCCAAGCCAGAGAACAAGCAGAGGCUGCCACAGGAGAUCCUGGGCAAGUAAUCAGCCACAGCAUCUAGAUUAGCAUGAAGGAAACACUGGCCAAAUUAAAAGAUGAAACUUCCAAAAGGCUGGGAGGGACUGUGGCCAGCGCUGACACGGAAGUGGCCCGUCAAACAAAUGCUGCUGAGAGUACGAGAGCCAAGACCCAGGCAGAAGCCAGAGGAGGCAUCUGAAGUGAAGGGAGAAGACACUGCAGAUGGGGAAUCUGAGGAGUCCCCCACCCUCGAGAUCCCUACCUCUGGAUGCGGAUGCUCUGAUCU
RNAcentral lists this long non-coding RNA (723 nucleotides) under Homo sapiens (human). RNAcentral describes it as "HSALNT0232980". The record is from RNAcentral. Lineage: Eukaryota; Metazoa; Chordata; Mammalia; Primates; Hominidae.